UCGGGAAUUUUGGGCAAUGGGCGAAAGCCUGACGCAGCGACGCCGUGUGGGUGAUGAAGGCCUUCGGGUCGUAAAGCCCUGUCAGGAGGGACGAAAUCUUGGCGGCCUAAUAUGCCGUCUACUUGACGGUACCUCCAAAGGAAGCACCGGCUAACUCCGUGCCAGCAGCCGCGGUAAUACGGAGGGGGCUAGCGUUGUUCGGAAUUACUGGGCGUAAAGGGCGCGUAGGCGGAUGUUCAAGUCGGGGGUGAAAUCCCGGGGCUCAACCCCGGAACUGCCUCCGAUACUGGAUGUCUGGAGGACGGGAGAGGCGAGUGGAAUGCCGAGUGUAGAGGUGAAAUUCGUAGAUAUUCGGCGGAACACCCGUGGCGAAGGCGGCUCGCUGGUCCGUUUCUGACGCUGAGGCGCGAAAGCGUGGGGAGCAA
This 425-nucleotide ribosomal RNA is filed under the name uncultured bacterium. Its description in RNAcentral is "bacterial SSU rRNA". It matches the Rfam family "Bacterial small subunit ribosomal RNA", at positions 355 to 771 of the family's 1533-position model. The record is from RNAcentral.